Molecule: ribosomal RNA, 275 nt
Filed under: uncultured bacterium
Lineage: Bacteria
Description: partial 16S ribosomal RNA
Rfam family: Bacterial small subunit ribosomal RNA
Source: RNAcentral
CCUACGGGGGGCUGCAGUGGGGAAUUUUGGACAAUGGACGCAAGUCUGAUCCAGCCAUGCCGCGUGCGGGAAGAAGGCCUUCGGGUUGUAAACCGCUUUUGUCAGGGAAGAAACGCUCUGGGUUAAUACCUCGGGGUAAUGACGGUACCUGAAGAAUAAGCACCGGCUAACUACGUGCCAGCAGCCGCGGUAAUACGUAGGGUGCAAGCGUUAAUCGGAAUUACUGGGCGUAAAGCGUGCGCAGGCGGUUAUGCAAGACAGAGGUGAAAUCCCCG